AAUGCUGUGAUGAGAUGAGCACCGUACCUUUGGUGUUUUGGGCAGUGGGUAAAAUAAAGUUUGAUUUUUAAUCCUCCUCCGUGAGCCCUCAGCUCUAAUUAACGAUUUCUGCUUCCACUGAACAUU
RNAcentral lists this small nucleolar RNA (126 nucleotides) under Ipomoea nil (Japanese morning glory). Its description in RNAcentral is "Small nucleolar RNA Z152/R70/R12/". It matches the Rfam family "Small nucleolar RNA Z152/R70/R12/". From Rfam's summary of the family: Z152 is a member of the C/D class of snoRNA which contain the C (UGAUGA) and D (CUGA) box motifs. Most of the members of the box C/D family function in directing site-specific 2'-O-methylation of substrate RNAs. The record is from Rfam by way of RNAcentral. Lineage: Eukaryota; Viridiplantae; Streptophyta; Magnoliopsida; Solanales; Convolvulaceae.